GUAAAAACGGCAAGUGAGAUGGCGGCGACAAAUAUUUUACUGCAGUGCGGCGAUCGUGGAACUCUGCUUGGAUCUGCUGCAGAAGCUCAGCAACACGCACAGGAGUUUUGUCACACCAACUACUACGAGUCCCAAGAAGCCAUUCGCUUUAUUGUUUGCUAUAAUUGCGGUCACAAAUGUUCCUGCGAAACCGAGAGCGUUAUACAUUCAAGAAAGUCUGGGCAUACUGAAUUUUAUGAUAGGACAGCAGAGGUGACGGAAGAGGCAGCAAGAAGAAACAGAGCUAACAUUCGUCAGAUGCUGAGAGUAGCUAUUGAUCGUUUGGACGAGGCUGAUACUUCAGAGGGAGCAAGAAGGCAGCAGCAGCAGCAGCUUGGUUUGCCUUCGAGACCUGUUUUACAGGAAGGACAGAGUUCAUUGACUCUAGCUGCAAAGGUCGAGCAGAUGGCUGAGUGCCUGCGGACUAUCCAGCAGAAUUCCAUGGAUGACGCGGCCAAAGUCAUGCAAGCUUUCAACUCACUGCGUAUGUUUGUUAGGAAUAUUGCUACGAAUCCUGAUGAGGAGAAAUACCGCAAAAUUAGAAUCAGCAAUACUGCAUUCCAGGCGAGGGUUGGCCACCUACGAGGAGGUAUCGAGUUCCUUGAGGUCUGUGGAUUCGAAAGAACUAUAGGGGGUGAACACUUGUACAUGCAGAGAGAAAAUGUGGACUCUGAUGUGCUUUAUGCAGCUGCAAAUGUGCUCAACAAUGCCAUUGGAAAUGCAUAAUAUAGAAGUUACAUGUGGUGUUGUUGUUUAGCAAAUCAAGGAGUUAAAAAACAUAUGCUUUUGUGGAAAACAAUUAUUUUGUGUUUUGACAUUUUGUUAUCAAACAUAUAAUCUUGUUUUACUCUUUUAAUGUGAUGUAAUUUGAUCGUUGAUACAUGUAUUGAAA
This 931-nucleotide unclassified non-coding RNA is filed under the name Hevea brasiliensis (rubber tree). Lineage: Eukaryota; Viridiplantae; Streptophyta; Magnoliopsida; Malpighiales; Euphorbiaceae. The record is from RNAcentral.